GAAAUGCAUGCUCCGGCUCGAGGACGAGUUCCGCUCGCUGAUCGAGCGAUCAGACGGUGGAUCGCCGUUGGAUGCGCCGGCGGCGGGGUCGUCGCCUUUCGAUUCGGACGGAGAGAAUAGCGACGGAGACGACGGCCAGGUCCCAGUGGCUCACCCAGUCAAGGACUACGACCUCAUCAUCGACGCCCUCCCGCCAGGGACCGUCUCCGACCUCCACGAGAUCGCGCGGCGGAUGGUGGUUGCCGGCUUCGGCCGGGAGUGCGCCGAGGUCUACGCUCUCGCCCACCGGGAUUUCGUCGAGGAGAGCGUCGCCCGGCUAGGUAUCCGCCACCGUACCGCCGAGGAGGUCCAGGGCACACCUUGGGCUGACCUCGACGACGAGAUAGCCCGUUGGCUCAAAGCCAUCAACAUGGUCUUCCGCAUCCUGAUUCCCAGCGAACGCCGCCUCUGCGACCGGAUCUUCGCCGGCCUGUCCCCCUUCGCUGACCUCGCUUUCGCCGCCGUCUCCCGCGCUUCGGCGAUCCAGCUCCUCUCCUUCGCCGACGCCGUCGCCAUCGGGAACCGAGCACCAGAACGCCUUUUUCGGGUCGUCGACAUGUACGAGGCCGUGCGGGACCUCUUCCCGGACCUCGACCCCCUCUUCUCCGACCAGUACUCCACCUUCCUCCGGACGGAGGCCGCCACCCUCUCGAAGUCCCUGGCGGCGGCGAUCCGGGGAAUCUUCAUGGAACUGGAGAACCUGAUCCGGCGAGAUCCGGCGCGUGCGGCCGUGCCCGGUGGAGGCCUCCACCCGAUCACCCGCUACGUGAUGAACUACCUCCGGGCGGCGUGCGCCUCCCGGCGAACCCUCGAGGAGGUCAUGGAGGAGGACACCGGAACCGCCUCUCCGC
This 890-nucleotide long non-coding RNA is filed under the name Elaeis guineensis (African oil palm). Its description in RNAcentral is "long non-coding RNA (EGUI_LNC013564)". Lineage: Eukaryota; Viridiplantae; Streptophyta; Magnoliopsida; Arecales; Arecaceae. The record is from RNAcentral.